CCUACACGGAAGGAAGUGCACUCUUCUUCCCUUGCCCAUCAGCCGGCCGCCGUGCCUCCACGGUCAUAAUGAAGGCUGUCUUCAGGCUGUGAGCCAAAGAGCUUCUAAUGGAAAAGCAAGCCGCACUUUCCAGUGAGGAUUUGCAAAGAAGUCCACAAUGUCGGAAAAAAAUAUUGAAAUUGAGAAGAAAAAUCCAUGGAAAUAGAUGUAUAUAUUCCAAGAGCAAUGAAAGAGGGGAAAUGAGAACACAGAAGGAAACACUCCGUUCUUGGGGGAGAAAAAAAAAAAAAGCACAUCACAUUUCUUUACCACUCUGGUCAAAUUGUCAUUGGAUUUUGGCAAGAUUAGCAAAGGAAAGCUGGAUCCACCCGGCUUCUCACAUACCAUCUAAAAGGACUUUUUUAAGAAGGCUGCCAUAACCAUCCAGAAAUCUUCUUUGAUCUACAUAUGUAACAAAAGUGAGGUCCUGAAGCUGUAAAAUUCAAAACAAACUUGAUGUCUGCUGAGGAUUCUUUCUGCACUUCAAAGAUGGCGCCUCCAGGGGAAUCAGCCCUGCGAGGGAACAGCCUCUGUGGUAGAAGAAUGGGAACCAGAAGCUUAGCACACUACUGUCUCUUUUUGAGGGCAUCUGAUCCAAGGGCCUGAUCAUUCCCAAAGGCCCCAUCUCUGAAAACUACUGUAAUGCUUAAAAAACAAAACAAAACAAAAACAACAACAACAACACCCCACAGCGCUGUCAUCUUAAAGGGAAUAAGAGAGUAUAUUCUGGAGCCAUUUUGAGGGACCACAGCCCAGGAACUCCAAAUUCCAUGUUCCCACACGGAAACAGUUUUAUGACAUUUUUAUAGGUUUAUAGAGCAAAGAAAGUCAUAAAUUAAGGCAAGUUUAAAUUACAUUGGUAGGUACAUCAGAGAGGCAGGUAUACAUCGAGAUGGGAGAAGCUUUUCUAUCACCCCAAGAUGCCAUCUGAUGACAGUCUUAGCUUUUGGGUUGGUAGGAGCUAGUGGUCUACUCAGUUAAUAGAUUCAAAAAGGAUUUUAUCUGUUAGUCACAAGAUGUUAGUUCUGACACAGAGGUGGACAAGGAAUAGCUGUUCUAGAGGGCAAAGUAGCCCAAGAUAAGGUAACUGGUCAUGCAAUACUCUAAUCUCUCCACAGUUCUGGAAUUCUAAUCCAUCAGUCUCUGCAGACACAACUUCUUCCCUGGAGUUUUCAUUCACAAUGCAAAUUGUUGAAGGGAUACAAACAUUCAAGCCACAGCAGACUUCUUCUUUUACUCUCAGGAUAAAAUACCAGAAAACUGCAUGCACAGAGUUGUGAUCUUAACAUUAUAGCUGACUUGAACACUCUAGAAGGAAUAAUCAAACAGUUUAUGAUGUAAGUACAGUGUGCCUACCACCUAUAGAGCUAGUUUCAGGACAGCCUCCAAAGCCACAAAGAAACCCUGUCUCGAAAAAACAAACAAAC
Molecule: long non-coding RNA, 1466 nt
Filed under: Cricetulus griseus (Chinese hamster)
Lineage: Eukaryota; Metazoa; Chordata; Mammalia; Rodentia; Cricetidae
Description: lncRNA (ENSCGRG00015034362.1)
Source: RNAcentral